RNAcentral lists this ribosomal RNA (427 nucleotides) under uncultured bacterium. RNAcentral's name for it is "partial 16S ribosomal RNA". It matches the Rfam family "Bacterial small subunit ribosomal RNA", at positions 355 to 774 of the family's 1533-position model. The record is from RNAcentral.
UGGGGAAUAUUGGACAAUGGGCGAAAGCCUGAUCCAGCCAUGCCGCGUGUGUGAAGAAGGUCUUCGGAUUGUAAAGCACUUUAAGUUGGGAGGAAGGGCAUUAACCUAAUACGUUAGUGUUUUGACGUCACCGACAGAAUAAGCACCGGCUAACUCUGUGCCAGCAGCCGCGGUAAUACAGAGGGUGCAAGCGUUAAUCGGAAUUACUGGGCGUAAAGCGCGCGUAGGUGGUUUGUUAAGUUGGAUGUGAAAUCCCCGGGCUCAACCUGGGAACUGCAUUCAAAACUGACUGACUAGAGUAUGGUAGAGGGUGGUGGAAUUUCCUGUGUAGCGGUGAAAUGCGUAGAUAUAGGAAGGAACACCAGUGGCGAAGGCGACCACCUGGACAAAGACUGACGCUCAGGUGCGAAAGCGUGGGGAGCAAACA